Molecule: long non-coding RNA, 214 nt
Filed under: Elaeis guineensis (African oil palm)
Lineage: Eukaryota; Viridiplantae; Streptophyta; Magnoliopsida; Arecales; Arecaceae
Description: long non-coding RNA (EGUI_LNC009646)
Source: RNAcentral
UGCUAGCUUCCAUAUAGAGAUCACUUUUUGAAUUAUCGAAUUGAUUUGAUUUUUUAAUUUUCUUCUCAAAAAAAUCAAACAAAUCUAUAGGAGGAUGAUAAAAUCAGAUCACAUCUGAUUUCUUUUUUCAUUUUUCUCUUCUCAAGAGAAAAAUCAAGGUCUAUAGGAGAAUACAAAAGAUCUAAUCUCUUUCUUCUUCCUUCUUGUCCAACCC